RNAcentral lists this ribosomal RNA (253 nucleotides) under uncultured prokaryote. RNAcentral's name for it is "partial 16S ribosomal RNA". It matches the Rfam family "Bacterial small subunit ribosomal RNA", at positions 525 to 777 of the family's 1533-position model. The record is from RNAcentral.
ACAGAGGGUGCGAGCGUUGUUCGGAAUUAUUGGGCGUAAAGGGCGCGUAGGCGGUGCGGUAAGUCACCUGUGAAACCUCUGGGCUUAACUCAGAGCCUGCAGGCGAAACUACCGUGCUGGAGUGUGGGAGAGGUGCGUGGAAUUCCCGGUGUAGCGGUGAAAUGCGUAGAUAUCAUUUGGAACGCCAAUGGUGAAAACAGCUCGCUGGGGGUUUGCUGACGCUGAGACACGAAAGCCAGGGGAGCAAACGGGA